This 4832-nucleotide unclassified non-coding RNA is filed under the name Drosophila mojavensis. RNAcentral's name for it is "GI18767". The record is from RNAcentral. Lineage: Eukaryota; Metazoa; Arthropoda; Insecta; Diptera; Drosophilidae.
CUAUCGGCAGCCAUUUUUUCACGCUUUCUUGCGAAAAAAUUGUGAAAAUUCAAGUAAAAAGUUGUUAAACUGGCAAGAAAAUAAUUUAUAAAGAUCACAUAUACUGAAAUAGUAUGCGAAUUUGAAUAUUGUGCGUGCGUGUAGUGUGUGAGCAUUGAAAUAAUCAUGGAGACGGUCGUCGCUUUCAAUAAUGAGCUCUCCGGGCUCUAUGAUAGCCGACCGCCCAUAUCGAAGGCUAAAAUGGCCGCCAUCACAAAGUCGGCAAUGCGUGCAAUUAAAUUCUACAAGCAUGUUGUGCAGAGUGUUGAAAAGUUUAUACUCAAAUGCAAGCCGGAGUACAAAGUGCCGGGCCUGUAUGUCAUAGACUCAAUAGUGCGACAAUCGCGUCAUCAAUAUGGCACCGAGAAGGAUGUCUUUGCGCCCCGCUUCCAGCGUAAUCUAACCGAAACGUUUGCAAAUCUGUUUCGUUGCGCGCCCGAGGACAAGAGUCGCAUCAUUCGCGUGCUGAACCUUUGGCAGAAGAAUAAUGUGUUCAAAUCGGAAGUAAUACAGCCAAUAUUUGAUUUGGCUGAUCCAAACCAUCCGAUUUACCAUCAAAUGCCACCAAUCAGCGCCGGCAAUCUCAACGCGAGCUCUGGACCAAGUGGCAGCAGCGGUGUUCUAAAUCUUUCGGAUAUUUCCAGUGGCAAUGCUGCCAAUGGUUUGAAUGCCUCGGGAAUGAGCAAUAUGGAUAUGAGUGGUGCUGUCGACGAUAAAAUGGGUGGUGCAAUGCCGGAUCUGUCGAUAAGCCACGAGAAGUGCUCAAGCUCUAGUCGACGUCACAUGGAACAGCAUUAUAUGAAGCGUCAACAACAGCAGCAGCAGCAUCAACAUAAUAUGCCAUCCAGCAAUUCGGCAUCUGGUUCCAAGAGUCGUUUCGAUAGUGGGGGACUAAGCAAGUCGCAUCAUCACAACAAAUAUGGCAAGGGUAGCAGCUCCCAUGAGCUGGACUAUGACCUGCGUGAGAUAAUCGAUGACGAGGAUGGGGACAUGCUGAUGGGCGACGAUCAUCAUUGUAUGGGCGAUGAUACGCCGCCCGGCUCUUCCAAUUUGCUAGAUAACAAUAAUUUAAAGCAACUGCUCAACGAUCCCAAUGUCUUACGCCAACUGCAAACGCUGCAAAACUUUCAAAAGUUCAAGCAACAAGAGGAGAAUCAAAAGCAUCGCUACCAGGAGCAGGAUGCCCUGCAGCAGCAUUUGCAGAAUGUUCUCAAGGGCACAGGUGGCUUGCCGCCGGGCGUCGGCAUGGGCAUGGGCCACAAUGAUGUGACGGACAUGAACAAGGAUGUUGAAUUCAUAUCGGAACAGCAACCCAUUGAGGUUAUCAAUCUGGAUGGUGCCGAUUCCCGUAGUCCGACGCCCGAUCGUGACCGUUACAAGCGCAGCCGACGCAGCAGCCGCAGUAGAUCGCCCCGUAGUCGUGGCGGCGGCGGUGGUGGGGGUGGUGGUGGCAAUGGAAACGAUCGUGAUCGGGGAAGUCGCCGUCGCAGCUCACGUUCGCGCAGCCGUUCGCCACGUUCCAGCCGCAGGCGCGGAUCGCGCGAUCGUGACCGCAUGGAGCGCAGCACGCGCGACAAGGAGCGGGAUCGCGAACAUGAACGUGAGCGACGCAAGAAGGGCCUGCCCGAGAUUAAGAAGGAGCAUCUAAGUGUGUGCAGUACCACGCUGUGGGUGGGCCAUCUCUCCAAGCUGGUGUACCAGGAGGAGCUCUCGGAUACUUUUGGCGAAUAUGGCGAUAUCGUGAGCAUCGAUCAGAUUGUGCCCAGAGGUUGUGCUUUCAUUGUGAUGAAUCGUCGCCAAGACGCACACAAGGCUAUGCAGGCGCUUAAGAAUCACAAGCUUCAAGGUCGUGCCAUUACCAUAUCUUGGGCAGCUGGGAAGGGUGUGAAGAGCAAGGAAUGGAAGGAUUUCUGGGAUCUUGAUCUCGGCGUCACAUAUGUGCCGUGGAACAAGCUGAGCCCCGACACGGACUUCGACAGUCUCGAGGAGGGCGGCAUGUUCGACGAGGACACCAUGCCCAGCUGGAUGAAGCAAAAAAUCAAUCAGGCGAAAAAUGUCAAGGAUGUCAAGCCGACAGCCCUAACCGGCGAAAUGCCCAAUGUGCCGUCUGUGGCGCCGCCAAACUUGCUCUUUGGCAUUGACACCACACAGCCACCGCCAGUGGCUCCGCCACAGCAUGGCGGACCUGGUGCACCUCCGCCCGCACUGAUGGGUAUGGUGCCUGGCCAGUUCCAGAUGGCGCCUCCAUUGGGCGCACCACCGCCGCAGCGCAUGCUGGGUCCCAUGGGACCGCUGAACCAUCCGUUGGGCAUGGCUAUGCCUCCGAAUAUGGUGCCCGGCAUGCCGCCGCCAAUGAUGAUGCCGCCUAAUAUGAUGCCACCCGGUUUUCCGACCAUGGGCGGCCCACCUCCACAUCCUAUGGGACUGCCGCCGGGCGCACAGUUCCCCCCGCCGGGAGCAGUGCCGCCGCCCAUGACCACAAUUCCAGCACCCGCGGGCUCUGGCACUGGCAAUGUGAGCGACGACCAAAUGGAUAUCGAAAUGGAGCUUGAGGAUGCACCAUCGCAAUCGGCACCUACGUCCUCACAACAGCAAGCACCUAACUUCAGCCAGCCGCCGCCGAUCUUUGCAGGUGGCGCCACGCAACCGAACAGUGUGGAUGUGGCUGCAGCGGUUGCUGGCAAUGAUCUGUUCCAAAGGGAUCGCGCACGUGGUCCUAGCGGCGCAGGUUCUCGCUGGGGCGGCCGCGACGACAUUGCUGAGGCUUCGGAGCGCUGGAGGAAUGAGAACGGAGGCGGUGGACCGCCGCCGCUAAGCGGAGCCUUCAACGAGGCACGAGCGCGUCUCAAUCUCAAUAGCAUGGAACAUGGUGGAAUGCAACGUCCAGAAUUCUUGGGUGGCUUGGAAUUUGAUAAUCGUCCAGGCGGUGGACCGCGUGGUAUGGGUCCAGGCCCCAGGGGUGGCAAUCAUAAUGGCGGCAAUGGCGGAGGUGACUUCUUCCAGCCCAAUAUGAAUCCCAAUCAGAAUCGUUUCAAUCAGCCAACGAGUCUGAUGCAGAUGCGCAUACCGCCGCCGGUGGCGUUUAAUCAGCGCAUGGGAGGACCGGGUGCAGGCAAUGGAGUGGGCCCCAUGUUUAUGCGUAAUCAAGGUGGCGGUGGACCAGGCGGCAGGCAGCAAGGACCAGGUUUCUUCAAUCCGCGCAAUCCGUUUAACGAUAACCAACGUGGUCGUGGUGGUGGCGGAGGUGGUGGCGGCAGCGGUGGUAGUGGUGGUGGUCGUGGCAUGGGCGGUGGCGGAGGUCGCGGUGGCCGAUGGAGUGAUGAGGAGGAAGACGGCGGCAGCAAUAGCAACAACUUCAAACGGCGUGGAGGCGGUGGCCCAGGUGGCCCGGGCAAUCGAUUCCGUGGCGAACGCGAUGGCGAUGAUAGACGCGGCGGCAAUGGACGUAGUGGACGUGGUAGCCAGCGCAGCGAAGAGCGUGAACGUGGACCCAAUAAUAAUAACAGACGUGGCUCACGCGACGACAGUAAUCGCCACUCGAUAAGCUCCACGGAUGAGAACGCAUUGCAGGGCAAACAGUCUUCGUCGGAGCCGGAUGAUAUGAAGAAUAAGCCGGUGGCAGCGCCAUCCGUGAACAAUGUAGAAAAAUCAGCUGCUGUAGAUACCGAGGAGGACUGGGAUAGAGAGCUGCAGGAGUAUGAUGCUAGAAUGGAAGCGCAACAAGCAGCUGAAGCUGCAGAAGCCACCGCUGCCGCCUCUGGCGCUGGUACUUCUACUGCCACAGAUACCUCUGAUAUUAAUAAACAGAAAUCGGAGACGCUGGCCGAAGCGGCACCUGCGUCAGUAGUAGAGACGUUUGCCACCCCGCAUGCGGAAGAAAUCAGCGAGGUGUCCAAGCCCAAGGCACCAUCGCCUGUCUGCACGCCUCUCUAUGACGAGUUGCCGCCACCAGCAUCAGCAGCUGGAGCAACGGCACCGCCACAGCCAGUUGAGCAGGCCGAAGAGCCAAAUCCAAAGAUCGAACAGAAGCGUGUGACUGAGGAAUUUACGCAUGAGCCCGAGCCUGAGUCUGCGCCUGCAACAGUGCAACAGCCACAACAACGCGUUGAUUCCCCACCCAGAGCAGAGCAGUCACCGCCAGCCUCAGCAGCCCCAGCAACAACAACAACAACAACAACAACAACAGAUGCAACGAAAGAUAUAGCGGAGGAAACUGAGCCAGUUGCCAGUGCCCAGCCAGCAGUUGAGGCAGACUCAUAGAAUGCCGAGGAUAACGAGGAAUAACAGAAAAGGACAACAAAGAUAGAAGGAACGGAAGAAAUGUGUAUUUUAUGAUUUCCUUACAUAUGAUUCAUCUUUUGAGAUUACGCAUUUGUUGAGACGCGACAAAGGUCUGCACUAUUCUUGCUAGGCUAAGGCACUUUAUUUGUAUAAUUUUUAAACGAUUCACAUAUUAUUUAAGGCUUUGGUGCCGCAAUAACAUAAAAACCAACAAAUUGUAGGGUCCUCUGACAUCGGACGCUAAUAAUUCCCCUCCUUCAAAUAAGAAUAUUGUAUGUAAAACAACAAGAAAUGAUAACCCAAACUCCAGAAAACAUCAACAGUUAAAAGGCGCAAAAAAGGAACAAAUUGUAGCAAAUAAUUAGAGAAUAAUAUGAUAUAAUAUGGACGAAAUUAAUAGACAGAGGAGAAAACAGCCACGCUUGAGAAAUGUUUAUAAUUUUGUUAUGUAUAUAAUUUUAAGAUGGUAUUUAACACAAACUGUUUCUUAUGCGCAGGUUAUAAGUACACGU